Molecule: transfer RNA, 70 nt
Filed under: Streptococcus agalactiae
Lineage: Bacteria; Bacillati; Bacillota; Bacilli; Lactobacillales; Streptococcaceae
Description: tRNA-Asp
Rfam family: tRNA (bases 7-66)
About the family: Transfer RNA (tRNA) molecules are approximately 80 nucleotides in length. Their secondary structure includes four short double-helical elements and three loops (D, anti-codon, and T loops).
Source: RNAcentral
GGUCCCGUAGUGUAGCGGUUAUCACGUCGCCCUGUCACGGCGAAGAUCGCGGGUUCGAUUCCCGUCACCC